Molecule: long non-coding RNA, 3037 nt
Organism: Acinonyx jubatus (cheetah)
Lineage: Eukaryota; Metazoa; Chordata; Mammalia; Carnivora; Felidae
Exons: 2
Source: RefSeq, a predicted model, not a curated record
AAAAAAAAAAAAAAAAAAAAAAAAUUCCCUCUGGGCCAGCCUCCAGCAUGGAAAAGUUCGAGUCUCUAAAUAGGCUCUUUCAGGAAGCUUUGGAUGAUGGCAAAGAUGGUAUAAAGAAACGUGGUGUGAAUGUUUUCCUACGAAAAACUAAAGUGAUCAGUGAGCUCCAGGGAUUCGUAUUUUGUUAAAUUAUAAAACCACGAGAGGGGCAGCUGGCCUCCGUGGCUCCUUGGCAAGUCCGAUCCAGGCUUGCGAGGUGGAGGAAUGAGCAUGGGGGGUUUAGCAGCUGUCUUAGCAUCCUGCCUCGGGCACCUGACCCCCCGGAGUUGGUCAAGACUUUGGGAAACACACCUGAGAGCCAGGUGCAUAGUGUAAUCACCACCGCAUACUGUGUUCUUACUCUGUUUCAGACAACUGUGGACAACGUGAACCUGAACUUCUCACAUGCGCUUUUCUCACAGUUACGUUCAUCCUGGAAAAUCAUCCUUGAACUGAAACCAGUACAUCAAACUGCUCUACUUCUCUGAACGAGAAGAGUAUUGAGGAAUGACACCAAGGAUCUUGAAAGUUUGGAGCUACGUGUAUGUUCCAAGACCCUUAUUGGAUGCCUGAAACUGGAUAGUUCCCAGCCCUAUGUGUCCUGUUUUUUCCUGUACGUACAUACCUACGAUAAAGUUUAAUUUGUAAAUUAGGCACGGUAGGAGCCUAAGAACAAUUAUUAGCAACACAGAACCAUUACAACAAUAUACUUUAAUAAAAGUUACGCGAAUGUGGUCUCUCUCGCUCUCUCAAAAUACCUUACUGCACUGUACUCUGACUUCUUCCUGAGAUGCCAUGAGAUUAUAAAAUGUCUACAUGAGGAGACGAAGGGAGGUGACUGACACAGGUGUUGUGGGCUAUUAGGCUGCUAGUGAUCUGAAGAUACUUCAGGAGGAGGAUCGUUGCUUCCAGAACACGGUUGACCACAGGUGACUGAAGCUGCGGAGACCGCGGAGAAGGGGCUCUACUGUAAUGCCACGCACAGUAUUAUCUCAUUUAAUCUUCCCAACAUUACUGUGGGAUAGCUACAUUAUUAAUAGCAUUUAAAACUUUUUUUUAAGUUUAUUUAUUUUUGAGAGAGAGCAAGAAUGAGCGGGGUAGGGAAAGAGAUAGAGGGACAGAAGAUCCCAAGUGGGCUCUGUGCUGACAGCAGCCAGCUAGUUAAAGGGCUCGAACCCCAGACCAUGAGAUCAUGACCUGAGCUGAAGUCGGAUGCUCAGCCAACUGAGCCACCCAGGCACCCCUAUUAUUCAUAUUUUAGAGAUGAAAAUACUCAGCACAGAGCUGUAAAAAAAAAUGGCAAAGAUAAAAUUUAAAUUCCUAACAGUCUGGGCAAUAGCUAAGCACAAAGCCAUCUUGUUUCUCACUCAGUGUAAUUCCUAUUUGUUGACUUGUCUUUCUUCCCAGCUUAUCUUGUGAUGGCCAAAGGAUAGCUUGUGGGCUAUAUGGAUGGAUCUUGAUUUUACGAUUCAUAGCCUUUCUGAAACUGUAGGUCUUGGACAGACUUGUGAAGUUGGUACUUUGAUGUUUCAGGAACAUAGCCCCUCUCCUUCCUUAAAAAUGCUUUUUGUCUCUUGGUAGAAAGCCCUUCUGGCCAGGUGCCUUGAUGCAUUUCUCUAUCCUUUGCUCUAUUUAAAAACAAAAACGAAAAGCACUCCUGAGUUUACUGGCCCUAACAUGUAAUCAGCUGAUAUAAAUUAAAAGCAUAUUUGCAUUUUAUUAUUUUACUUUAUCUUAAAAAAAUCUCUGUACCCAACAUGGGGCUCGAACUCACAACCCCAAGAUCAAGAGUCACGUGCUCUAUGGACUGAGCCAGCCGGGGGGCCUCUAAAAGCAUAUUUGCAUUUUGAAAAGUAAUGGAGCCUAAUAAAGAACUCUUUAGUGGUGAAAUGCGACUGCGAUCUUCCUCAUCUCUUAGCUUCAGGGAAGCUAGUCCAGUUUCUAUUCAAACUAGUUCAUUUAUAUCGAAACUCCUCAAAUGACCUAUUUUCUCUAACUGCUUUUAUUUUGGGCCUCUGGCUGUUCUCCCCGCAGUCCACUGAAAUUAAACACACACACAACAUUAUCACCAAAUCCAGUGGUCUUUCAUUAGAAUGCUUUCUUUUUCAUCUUUUUACGGCCUUAACAUUUUUUUUAUUCCUUCUGCAUUGAAAAACUAUUAUCCUGAGAUUUAUGUCAUUUACGUGUUUUGCUCCUCUCCCACUUCUCUGUGGAAUCGUUUAGGGUUCCCCCCCCCCCCUUAAAAGCUUUUCUUCUUUUGAUCUCCUAAUUGUGUGAAUUCUUCGGGCUACUGCUUGAGCAAAUAAUACCCAUAUUUAAAAUUGUCUCUGGUGCCCCAUAUUUAUACCUUCCCAAAGUGUGGCAUAUGGAACACUGUUCCCACGAGACUGCAUUAAAAAAUGAGCAACCAGGAGCCCUGGCAGAUACUUCUCUUCCUGCGUGUUCUAAAGACUGUAAACUUCAACAUUCUCUUUCAUGAUCUUACUUCCAGAUGGAGUGACCACGUAACACAAUUCUGACCAAUACGGUAUAAAUUGGAGUCUGUUGACCCUUCACCCUUCUUCCUGUUUUUGGCAUGGACUUGAAGCAGCGAGAAGCAAAGUGAAUUGCAGAGGUAGCAGCUCUCACGCUGCACGUAGGCCGGCAACGUUCUGCCUUCUGAGUUCUUAAGGUGCACAAAUCUCUAUUUGUUUGGACUGGAGUAAUCAGGUGAUUUACACCUUGCAGCUGACCAUCCUCCUAACUAGAUAUAAAAGUGCAACAUACCAUAUGUCCCUCUUAGAACUUCAGAAUGCACAAAAGAAUAUUAAAAAGAAGAAAUAGGGGUGCUUAGGUGGCUCAGAUCGUUGAGUGUCCACCUUCAGCUCAGGUCGUAAGGUCGAGCCCCACUUUGGGCUUUGUGUUGACCUUGCCAGUGCAUGGGCCUGCUUUGGAUUCUGUCUCCCUCUCUCUCCCUGCCCCUCCCUCACUCAUUCUCCAUUCUCUCUCUCUCCCUCUC